Long non-coding RNA from Hyla sarda, 335 nucleotides. RefSeq lists it as uncharacterized. NCBI's taxonomy places the organism in Eukaryota, Metazoa, Chordata, Amphibia, Anura, Hylidae. The transcript has 3 exons. The record is from RefSeq and is a predicted model, not a curated record.
CGAAGGGGGCAGAUCGAGGAAUUACUAUUGAUGAGGCAGGGGAGAUGGGCAACCGGCUGCCCACCUCCAUUGUGCACAGGAGAGCAAUGGAAAUGAAAUUAGUAAUGGUCAUAACUCUGGAUAUUCUUUUCCUAAAUAUGGCAAUAUCAGAUGAGCAGAAAUCCUAGUCUGACUACAUCUUAAAGGGAUACUCUGACAUCAGUUCUGGCAGCUGCCACCAUGUUUUCUGCAUCAGCCGCACCUCCGGUUCCGCCAAUCACGGCCAUUUUGGAACUAAAAACCAGCCCUGAUUUACAAAUGCUUCCAGCCAGCAUACACUAUUGCUCACCACCCCA